Molecule: non-coding RNA, 3319 nt
Organism: Dermacentor andersoni
Lineage: Eukaryota; Metazoa; Arthropoda; Arachnida; Ixodida; Ixodidae
Source: RefSeq, a predicted model, not a curated record
UGCAUUGUACACUGGAAACAAAGGAAUAAUGAAGUGCAGCACAGAUUAAUUAAGCACCAGUGAAAACAUGACUUGCUAUUGCCUGAUCAGCAUGCCCGUGAUCGUCAAAGACAGCAUUUAUUUCUGCAGUAAUGAGAUAAGUGGAUUGCUCAUUCACAGUGUGCCUUCCCACACUAUCUGGGCUUCUUCAAACAAGGGUUGCACCCCACAGGCAUGACAAUGAUUCGCUAAAAAUCCUAGUUCAUCAUUGUGCACAUUGUUAUUGUGUUCAUGCAGAGAGUCAGUUAAACAUAAUGCAUCUGCUGCCUGGCAACACAUUUGCAUUUUCCUUUAUGUUGCUUUGGAGAGAUAGUGUUUAUGCGGGAUGGAAGGUAACUACUUGCACUCCUACAUGCUGUUCGAUAUUUAUUUAGGGCAGGAAACAAGAUGCAUGUAGGGUGUUAGAAAUACCUUGUCAUACUUGCAAGUUACCCUUUCCGCCUAACAGUCAGGAACAUAAGCUUGUCAUGUUUACAUAGGUGUUCUAUCUAUACUGCACUUCAAUUCUUAGCUUCUAGCAUACAGCAUGUACAUGUGUAGUGCAUGUGUAAUACAGAGACCCAUCAGAAAGGCAGUGCCUGUCCUCGCCUACUCGUUGAUGUCUGUUCUUGUCCCAAGUAGUGCAGUUACAUUUUCAAUUAUGCAGGGCAAGCUUGCUGAAUUUCUGACGUUACUAAGUUACAUUUUUCGGCCAUACUCAUGUGAGCCACCAAUGCAUUACAUUAGCUUACACAGUACUACCAGGACCAGCUUUCACCGAAUAGCCUGAUGAAAAAAAAAUAGAUCCUUUGGCUGAAGGAAAUACUUUCCUGCAACAAUCAGCACUUACAGUUUUUUUUUUUUCAGUUAUAUUCCUGGCAGCAAUAAAAGAAAGAGGAAAGAAAUUGAUGUUAGUUCUCUUGGCAUAGAAUGACGAAGUCUGUAAUGUCACCGAUUUAGUGGUUCUGAAUAAAAUGAAAGUGGCAAUCCAAUUUACUGUUCUUUCACUACUGAUGCAAUGAACUGCACAUCAUAAUAAUGUAUUUUCACAUUGGUGAAAGUAAGCACAGAAUACUCAGGCUCGAAAUAAAGCGCCUUUCCAGCAUAUUUGAAUGGUUCCAGAAGUACUGCAGGUUGGCAUUAUGAAAAGUGAAAGCUGUACAUUUACCGUGGUGACUGAAGGAAGAAGGUAUGCCUUCUGGUAAUUGAAAGCCUGGUCACUCAUGACUUGCACACCCAUCAGCCGCAUCAUCCUGAGAGCACUACUAGAACUUGAGCCGGAAAAAAGCAGAGCCGUUGCCAGGUCAAUGUUGCCCCUCGGCUUGGUUCCAACAAGUGGCUGGCUGGACCACGUAUGCACAUGUGCAUGUGGACAUUCAGUUUCUGCUGUAAUGCGUGUGCCAUUGUGAAACAGCUUUACUGUGCAUGAAGCUGACAAACAAGUACGGCACUGACUCAGAAGGGUGACCAGGCAGGUGCUGUGGACAAGGAAGUAGUCCUUCCGGUUUGCAUGAGUCUCAUCUUCGUCGCUUCUGGAAAAGGAAGUGCUCACUGUCAGGUUUCACAAAUAUAUGCAUUUAACAAUACACACUGUUUACACCAUGAUUAAUAAAUUGCCUCACUAUAUCUGGAAGGUACUGUUGCAUAAGUUAUGCUGCACCAAUUACCUCAGAAACACUUGUGAUGACACUCAUAAUAGAAAACGCUAGAAAUAAUUUUGCGAAAGUUUCAUCCUGAUUGUGAGGGUUUUUUUUUCUUAUAAAUUCUAAUGGUAAUCUUGAACCUUGCUCUCUAAUUUGUGUUGAUUAGUUGCAAAAAACUGUCCAAAGUCAAGCUCCUAGACUUAUGGCAUUUGAACUCUUUUUUGCAAAGGGGAAUGGUUCUAAGAAAUCGAAUUAGUGUCGGGAGUUGCUACUCCAUCUCUUUAUCAUUGCAUGUCACUAUUUUUGAGCAUGGGUUCCUAUUUAGUAAAAUAUGAGUCCUGCUCACUCAUCAGCUAAUGCUGCAUCCAAGGUAAAAGUUGAGUUGUCUGUCUCAUAUGUCGUGUGAUACCUGUCAGCUUUGCGGGCUACCGGUGAUGCAUCAGGUGAGGCGAGAAAGCUGGCCUCCUGCCUAGAUGUUUGUCGCCGUCGCUUGGCUCCUUCAGCUCUUCGAGCACUAUAACGCCUCUUCACAGGUGUUGACGUCACGGGCUUCCUUCUGCAAACCUGCAUUCCCUUGGCCUUUAUUUGCUUCAUUGUUGUGUUAACUUGAACUCCUGCAAUAAAAGUCACGCCGGAAAAAAGCUAUUCUAGGUGAGACUUGCUUUAAAUAUUACUGUAAAUGGAAAUGAGGCGACCUGUGAUCAAAAUGAUUAUUCCUUGAAUGUAGGCGUUGAUGCCAAUAGGGAGUAUGCACUGAAAUUCGGCCGCAAUGUGGCGCUGCGGUUUCCCGAGCCCGGCGCCUUGCUUGUGGUUGUGCUGCAACAGCCGACGCAUACUUGCAGCUGUGUUCCAUAAGUGUUGUGUAGUGUUCCCUAGCCUUUUCGUUUCUCGUGUGUUGCAUGUGGCGUUGGUUGUUUGCAAUACUGCUGCGUUGGAAGCUUCCUCUACGGAUACACGCUGUAAAGAUUUGGAAAAGUGCCCAAACCGGAGCACGUUGUGCGUCAAGCAGCAAUGGUGAACUGCACCAUCUACGGUCGUUCCAACGGGUCAAAAAACAAACCCAACGAUGAGAACUUUCAACCGCUGGGCUUCCACGUCGUGCCCAGAGUCAAACAAGGACAGUGUCUUAGGACAGCGGAGCUAUCGUCAAGGCGCAGAGCUCUGUGGCUGAGCAGAAUUCGUCGCAAAGACCUGGACGAAUUGGCGACGCAUUACCGAGUUUGUGGGGCGCAUUUAAUCACAGGUAAGCACGGUAGCGGCAUUAAAGCUUAGUUAUUUAGUGCAAUUCUUUGCGCUCAGCGCUGUAACGUACCAGUGGACUAUAUUUUUCAGGACGACCAGCUUAUUUGAUGGAUGAGGCGAAUCCCGACUGGGCGCCGAGCCUCAAUCUCGGCUACAAGUCCACGACGCACGCUGGAAGAAGCGCAAGCGACAGGUACAUGCGACUCAAGCAACGGAGGCGUGCGAGUUCUGCAGCCAACGCCUUUGAAUUAAGGCAGCGACCGGAGAGCACGAACGCGGCGCCCAUCGCUGCAGGAACGGCGGCCGAGAUUUCUCUCCCGAGGAGCCUUCAUGCUUGGUAUGUCCAGUUCUACACGACAAUGUAGCCACAGCUCAGUGCCACCUGCAAGCGGAUCUGCAGAAUAACCAAGCUUCUG